UUAUUGGAGAGUUUGAUCCUGGCUCAGGACGAACGCUGGCGGCGUGCCUAACACAUGCAAGUCGAACGGAGAAUUUUAUUUCGGUAGAAUUCUUAGUGGCGAACGGGUGAGUAACGCGUAGGCAACCUGCCCUUUAGACGGGGACAACAUUCCGAAAGGAGUGCUAAUACCGGAUGUGAUCAUCGUGCCGCAUGGCAGGAUGAAGAAAGAUGGCCUCUACAAGUAAGCUAUCGCUAAAGGAUGGGCCUGCGUCUGAUUAGCUAGUUGGUAGUGUAACGGACUACCAAGGCGAUGAUCAGUAGCCGGUCUGAGAGGAUGAACGGCCACAUUGGGACUGAGACACGGCCCAAACUCCUACGGGAGGCAGCAGUGGGGAAUCUUCCGCAAUGGACGAAAGUCUGACGGAGCA
This 409-nucleotide ribosomal RNA is filed under the name Phascolarctobacterium sp. RNAcentral's name for it is "bacterial SSU rRNA". It matches the Rfam family "Bacterial small subunit ribosomal RNA", at positions 1 to 393 of the family's 1533-position model. The record is from RNAcentral. Lineage: Bacteria; Bacillati; Bacillota; Negativicutes; Acidaminococcales; Acidaminococcaceae.